GAUGAACGCUGACAGAAUGCUUAACACAUGCAAGUCUACUUGAAUUUGGGUUUUUUAACUUAGAUUUGGGUGGCGGACGGGUGAGUAACGCGUAAAGAACUUGCCUCACAGCUAGGGACAACAUUUGGAAACGAAUGCUAAUACCUGAUAUUAUGAUUAUAAGGCAUCUUAGAAUUAUGAAAGCUAUAUGCGCUGUGAGAGAGCUUUGCGUCCCAUUAGCUAGUUGGAGAGGUAACGGCUCACCAAGGCGAUGAUGGGUAGCCGGCCUGAGAGGGUGAACGGCCACAAGGGGACUGAGACACGGCCCUUACUCCUACGGGAGGCAGCAGUGGGGAAUAUUGGACAAUGGACCAAGAGUCUGAUCCAGCAAUUCUGUGUGCACGAUGAUGUUUUUCGGAAUGUAAAGUGCUUUCAGUUGGGAAGAAAAAAAUGACGGUACCAACAGAAGAAGUGACGGCUAAAUACGUG
RNAcentral lists this ribosomal RNA (468 nucleotides) under uncultured bacterium. Its description in RNAcentral is "partial 16S ribosomal RNA". It matches the Rfam family "Bacterial small subunit ribosomal RNA", at positions 28 to 507 of the family's 1533-position model. The record is from RNAcentral.